This 26-nucleotide non-coding RNA is filed under the name Rattus norvegicus (Norway rat). Lineage: Eukaryota; Metazoa; Chordata; Mammalia; Rodentia; Muridae. The record is from RNAcentral.
UGCUCACUGCAGGGCUGUGUGGAUGG